This 374-nucleotide long non-coding RNA is filed under the name Anser cygnoides (Swan goose). Its description in RNAcentral is "lncRNA (ENSACDG00005003414.1)". Lineage: Eukaryota; Metazoa; Chordata; Aves; Anseriformes; Anatidae. The record is from RNAcentral.
AUGCUCUUGAGGCUGGAGGUCAUCAAUUCUAUUUAUAAUGCUGAAUGCAUAAUAUUGCCUGACAAUCUUGCUGUUCAGAGAUGGACACAGAUCAUUACAAUGGCAAACAAAGCAUUGAUUUAUAAUCCAUUUAAAAUUUAAAUAUCAGCAAAAGGCAUACUGGAACAACAUAUGAGCCAGACCACCACUAGGAACAUUUGUGUAUCAGGUUAUCAGGGUAUUUUUCCUCUAUGGUAAUGGCAGUACCCUUGAACACAUUCAUUCAUCUCCCAUUUCCUUAUGGGAUUAGUAAAUUCUUUGUUCAGACAUUUAUAUAAAGUCUAGUAGAUUUAUAUCAGACGACUAGAAAUAAAUCUAACAUACAGCACUAUUCA